AUUGAACGCUGGCGGCAGGCCUAACACAUGCAAGUCGAGCGGAUGAAGGGAGCUUGCUCCUGGAUUCAGCGGCGGACGGGUGAGUAAUGCCUAGGAAUCUGCCUGGCAGUGGGGGAUAACGUCCGGAAACGGGCGCUAAUACCGCAUACGUCCUGAGGGAGAAAGUGGGGGAUCUUCGGACCUCACGCCAUCAGAUGAGCCUAGGUCGGAUUAGCUAGUUGGUGGGGUAAAGGCCUACCAAGGGGACGAUCCGUAACUGGUCUGAGAGGAUGACCAGUCACACUGGAACUGGGACACGGUCCAGACUCCUACGGGAGGCAGCAGUGGGGAAUAUUGGACAAUGGGCGAAGGCCUGAUCCAGCCAUGCCGCGUGUGUGAAGAAGGUCUUCGGAUUGUAAAGCACUUUAAGUUGGGAGGAAGGGCAGUAAGUUAAUACCUUGCUGUUUUGACGUUACCAACAGAAUAAGCACCGGCUAACUUCGUG
Molecule: ribosomal RNA, 484 nt
Filed under: uncultured bacterium
Lineage: Bacteria
Description: partial 16S ribosomal RNA
Rfam family: Bacterial small subunit ribosomal RNA
Source: RNAcentral